RNAcentral lists this unclassified non-coding RNA (168 nucleotides) under uncultured Bionectria. RNAcentral's name for it is "sequence contains ITS2". Lineage: Eukaryota; Fungi; Ascomycota; Sordariomycetes; Hypocreales; Bionectriaceae. The record is from RNAcentral.
CAACCCUCAUGCCCCCCCGGGGCGUGGUGUUGGGGAUCGGCCGAAGCCCGCAAGGGACGGCCGUCCCCUAAAUAUAGUGGCGGACCCGCCGUGGCCUCCCCUGCGAAGUAGUGAUAUUCCGCAUUGGAGCAGCAGCGAGACCCUGCCGUUAAACCCCCAACUUUCCAA